UCCUAGCCGUAAACGAUGAACACUAGAUGUUGGUGGUAUCAACCCCGCCAGUGUCGUAGCUAACGCAUUAAGUGUUCCGCCUGGGGAGUACGGCCGCAAGGCUAAAACUCAAAGGAAUUGACGGGGGCCCGCACAAGCAGCGGAGCGUGGGGUUUAAUUCGACGCAACGCGAAGAACCUUACCAGGGCUUGACAUGACCAGGAAUUCGGCGGAAACGUCGGCGCCUCGCAAGA
This 233-nucleotide ribosomal RNA is filed under the name uncultured bacterium. Its description in RNAcentral is "partial 16S ribosomal RNA". It matches the Rfam family "Bacterial small subunit ribosomal RNA", at positions 794 to 1024 of the family's 1533-position model. The record is from RNAcentral.